UACAGAGACCUCAAGCGUUAUCCGGAAUCAUUGGGCGUAAAGCGUACCGAUAGGUGGUUUACAAAGUCAGAAGUGAAAUUCCAAAGCUCAACUUUGGGACUGUCUUUUGAAACUUGUAAACUAGAGGGGCAAAGAGGAAGCUGGAACGAACGGUGUAGUAGUGAAAUGCGUUGAUAUCGUUCGGAACACCAAUAGCGUAGGCAGGCUUCUGGGUGCCACCUGACACUGCUAGGACGAAAGCGUGGGGAGCGAAUGGG
Molecule: ribosomal RNA, 257 nt
Filed under: uncultured prokaryote
Description: partial 16S ribosomal RNA
Rfam family: Bacterial small subunit ribosomal RNA
Source: RNAcentral